CAACAUCAACUAAAUUCCACAGUGCAUAACAGGCAGAGAGUUUAAAGAUCUUGCGCACAUGCAACAGCCGUCUCUCUUCUUUAAGAAUUCCUUUGGAACCUGAUUUUUCUGUUACCUGGUUUGGGGAGUCGGCAGCUUCCUGUCUUGGAAAGAGGCGUGGCCAAGAGCUGAGGACUUAGAAAGCAUAGGAUAAACACCUUCAGUGUCUGAGUUACAGGAUUCCUGAACAUUUGGUGGCAUCCCUGAAGAAGGAAGCUGACCUAAUGUUGUCCCUGGGGAUUAUUGAGCCAUCAAGAAUUACCUGGUUUGGGGAGUCGGCUGCUUCCUGUCUUGGAAAGAGGCAUGGCCAAGAGCUGUGGACUUAGGGUAUGUCCCAAUUCAGGGGCUGGAUCUUUCGAAGGACCUGGUCUACGUGGGCUGGGUCCUUCGUUGACCGCUAAAACCACGGAGGCCCUUUUGCCACUGUGGUCCGCCAUGACUGCCCCUGCUUGACCAAUCCGCUUCGACCCGCAAAGAAUCAUGGGAAAUGAUGGACACUCACGACCCAUCCUUCAAAUCGGGCAAAAGAAGGACACAUUUGUCGGCUGCAUUUCAAGGAGUCUCGGAAGGAUUUGUGAAUUGGGACAGCCUUCGUCGCCUCGCUGUGACGUAAUCGGUCUACAAAUACGGCCUUAGAAGGAUCCAGCCCCUGAAUUGGGACACAGCCUUAGAAAGCAUAAUGCCAGCUCAGCAGGACCAACUAUUUGCCUGUCGGCUAGGGGGGUGUUUAAGUUAAUUUACAUCAUUUGGUUCUUAGGCAGUAGUGAUGUUUAGUUCUGUUUCCCCCCUAUUGUAUAUGAAUGGUCUGGCCAAUUCACUAUAUAGGUUAACCUUCUGUGUCUUUGUGUUAGCUCAGUUUGGAGUUACAUUGUGUAUAUUUUGUUUCCUUAGCUAAUAGUUUGUGUGUUCCCAUUGUGAGAAGAGUUUUAUUUAGUUGACCUCUUUUACGGGCCCAUAAACUAUAUUUUCGAACUUUGCUAUUUUUGAGUUUUGUUGGGUAAAAUAAAGACCCACUUGGAAUACAGUUUCCUAUGUCCGCUAUGCCUUUACUGCUCGGUGAUCUGUUAGACUUUGAUAUACUUUUGUUAUUUCUUUAGCUUUGUAGGUUCUUGUGCACUAAUUAUGUAUAUUUGAUAUGAGUUAUGUUUUUGUUCUAUUGUGUGUUUAUUCAGAAAUUCUCCAGCCACCUUCCCUUAAUCCGACUCGGCUGUUUAUUAUUCCAGCAAUCACCUUCCAGCAUACAUAAUUACCUGGUUUCCAGAGUCAUUUGUCAGAAUAUUUCCCCUCCUGUGAUCUCCUGGUUCCAUACAAUUACCAUCUAUCUAUUCUUAACAUGUUGUUGCCUUUCUCCUACCUGCAAUUGGGUCCCCCAUAAUUAUAACUAAACAACUAACAACUAUGGUUAAAUCAACAUAGACAUGGUUCAACAAAUUUAAAAUCAAACUUCAUUGAUGGGCAUUUCAGCCUCCAGCGCUAAACCCUACAGGAAACCUGUAAAUUGGGCUGAAGAGAGGAGAGCAUCAGAGAAAACCCAGGACUUUGGACAAUCUAGAGAGAUUGUGCAAAAAAGAAUGGUCAACACUCUGGAUGCUUCAAUCUUAGAUAAUGGGAAAAGAACAUCAA
Long non-coding RNA from Girardinichthys multiradiatus, 1662 nucleotides. RefSeq lists it as uncharacterized. NCBI's taxonomy places the organism in Eukaryota, Metazoa, Chordata, Actinopteri, Cyprinodontiformes, Goodeidae. The transcript has 5 exons. The record is from RefSeq and is a predicted model, not a curated record.